CUACGGUAUUGCUCCCUUAUAAGCUUCGUUGCACAAAUUUUUAAAUCUAUUGUACUGUUAUUAACUCCGUAUUGCACUCUUACCAGCUUCGUUGCACUCUUUCGUAAACUAUUGUUCUGUUAUUCACACUACCUUGCACUAUUAUUUGCGUUUAACUAUGAAGGCGCGAGCUUUUAUGAGAAACCUUACAUAAUUAUUUUCUUAAAUCGUUUAGCAGUUAUGUCACACCUCUCGAACUGCGUACCCGCCGGCGACUGUCCGGCCACGCUGACGCUUAUCUUUUUCAAUCGUUUAGCAGUUAUCUCGCACAUCGCGGACCGUCCUGCCCCGCAGCCGACCGUGCAGCGCCGCCGAUGCUUCGCCUGCAUUUGGAGGGGACGCCGUUCAUUUGCACUUUUAACUUCAGAUUAUAUUAAUAAAUAAAUAAAGUAAAAUUUUGACUGGGUAUGUCGAGAUUGCACUGGAGCUAGCCUAGGGAUGCACUGUUAGAAGGUCGGUUGCACCAUUUUUCGUGGCGUUGCUUCAUUGCGUUGCACUAUUAUCCCUAUUGCGGGGCGUGCAGUUUUUGUCAUUUAGCUUCAGAAAUUUUAGUAGUAAAACCGAACAGCAAACAGCGGGGCCGACGAAUAGGGCGGCGGAUGUGGUCCGAGUUCCGAUAAAUGAGCGAGGUUGCGUAAGGCGGAAGCGGCGCAUUUAAUGAGCGCCAGACCGUAGGACAGGGUAGUAUACGUAUGUCAAGAAAUACGUGGGAGGCUAUUAUAUACGAGGGGCAUUUUGGUUAGGCAGCGAAAAAAGCGGACCGAAUCUGCAAAAACAAAAAAGGUGGCCCGGUUUUGCAAAAGCCCAAAAUAAGUGGAUUUUUUAUGCAAAUUGGCCAUUAUAAUUUUACUCCAUUUUUUGGAGUAUAGUUUAACUAUACUUCAAAAAUUACGUCAUUUUUUUUUUCUUACAAACGUUUCACAGGAUAAUUUUCCUGCCAGUGUAACAUAGUUU
This 993-nucleotide long non-coding RNA is filed under the name Ananas comosus (pineapple). RNAcentral's name for it is "long non-coding RNA (ACOM_LNC044545)". The record is from RNAcentral. Lineage: Eukaryota; Viridiplantae; Streptophyta; Magnoliopsida; Poales; Bromeliaceae.